Molecule: unclassified non-coding RNA, 1011 nt
Filed under: Hevea brasiliensis (rubber tree)
Lineage: Eukaryota; Viridiplantae; Streptophyta; Magnoliopsida; Malpighiales; Euphorbiaceae
Source: RNAcentral
CUUCAGAUAUCAGAAGCAGUGGGCCUUUGAAGCCUUAAGACAGAAUGGCAGAUCAAUGGAUGAAUAUUCUUUUUAGUUCUUGGAGUUGAGCAAGUAUGCUCCUACUGCUGUGGCCACAGAAAGCAUAAAGGUAAAGAGAUUUUUGAAAGGGCUAGACAGAAGGUAUGCGAACCCGGCUAUGUUGUCGGACCAACCAUUUGAUAUAGUAGUGGAUAGAGCCCAGCAAAUAAAGAUCAGUUAUACAUGUGAUGAAGGUGGUAGGACAAAGAAGAAUAAAGCUGAAGGAUCAUUUGGUAUGCCUUAUAUGAGUACCAUGGGUGGUGGCAGCCAGAGUCAUCACAGUGGAAGGACUAGGAGUAACAAGAAAGGUGGCUUCAAACAUAGAUCCAGAAGGUUCAGACACACGGGUGUAUAAGUGCUCCAAUUUAUCUUUUAUGUGAAUAUGAUUUGAUUUGUUUGAAAUAUGUGAAUGUGUUGCAUUUCAUCUUUAAGAAUGCAUUAGACUUAGAUAGUUAUAAAAAUUGUAUCUAAAAUCAACAUCUUACUCUAUGAGUCGAACGCUUACUCUUAUUCACCCUUUUUUUUUACAGGCUAUAGGAGGACUCUUACUUAUGUUUAACUUGCUUCCUACCUCGCAGGUCUCUUAGUUGCUCUACCUAUGUUUGUGUUAUAAAUUUUGAAAGUUCUAGAACUCCGCAUGUGUUAAAAGAUAUUUAAUUUGACUUGAAACUGCAAUAGAUUAUUAUUUAAAAUCUAUAACUUAUUAAUUAUGUAUAUGUGGAUUUGCUAAUUGAAUGAGUUAUGUGGCUGAGGGGCUGAGCUCCCAGUGAUCAUACUGAGUUAUUGUUAAUGAUUGUAAGAGUGAGCUAAACUCCUCAAAUGAUUUUAUUUAUUUUGUAAUCACAGGUCGAGUGAGUUAAAAACUCUUCGUUGAGCAGUCUAGUUUAUGGUCGGAUUCUGUCCGUUUGAUUUCUUGAAAAUGAAUUUAAAUAUGGGCUUUGAAGUUGGGCU